CCCAGAUACAAAAGUUUGAAAGAUGAAACGAGUACAAAGUUGCACAGCAUCGAGGACCAAAAGAUCAAAAAGGUUGUGCCAAAAACGGCAAGGGUUUUCUGUUAGUUACCAGAAAAUCCCUAUAAUUUAGAAUAAUUUAUACUUUUGCAAACAGUAAAUUUUAUAAAAUGAGUAUUCAAAAGAUGUACAUGAUAAAACUGAAGUAUAUAAUCGUUUCCUUUUCCCUGUAAAUUAUUUAUUUUAGAAUUUUGAUAGUUUGGAUAAAUGUUUACCAUUGUUAUAAAUAAAAUAUGAGAAUUUGAGUCAAAUCGGUGACCAUGAAUUUGACAGCUAGUGCAGUAAGUUCUAAUCAUCAUGCACCUUUUUGUUGAUUUAUCAAAUGGUUUUUAUACAGAUUCUCAAAUACUUUUGUUUGAG
Molecule: long non-coding RNA, 417 nt
Filed under: Mytilus galloprovincialis (Mediterranean mussel)
Lineage: Eukaryota; Metazoa; Mollusca; Bivalvia; Mytilida; Mytilidae
Source: RNAcentral